This is a long non-coding RNA of Theobroma umbraticum, 763 nucleotides long. RefSeq lists it as uncharacterized. Lineage: Eukaryota; Viridiplantae; Streptophyta; Magnoliopsida; Malvales; Malvaceae. The record is from RefSeq and is a predicted model, not a curated record.
GCAGUGUUAAGGUUACGAUGAACAAUAAGAGCUUCUCCAUGAAGCAAUAUGUCCAAAUCCUUGGCAUUUGAAGCAUCUUUUGUUGACAUUAGAAGCACGAGUAGAAGUAGUCUCUUUAUCAUUAUUGCUUACAGUUUUGGAAGAGUUUACUUUGGAGGCAGAAUUGUUGCUGAACUUUGACUUCCAUGGUUUGAGUUGAACAACAUCUGCAAUUUCAACAUUGAGACCCCCAAGAUAACGAGCUACAGUUUGUUCUUCAGGCUCACGGACAUCGCACUUCAUGUGAAGUUGUUCGAACCCCAAUGUAUAUUCUUCUACCGACAUUAUUUUUUGCCUCAAGUUAUGAAGUUUGAUAAAAAUUUCUUGUUGAUAAUGCUUACGAAGGAACUUACGCUUGAGUUCUCGACGCAUUUAAUCCCAUGUUCUGAUCUUGUUGCGACCUUCUUUUUCUCGUUGCCUUUUGAGAUUUUCCCACUAGAUAAAAGUGUGCUUCUUUAAUUCAAUUACCACAAGCUUUACACGUCUUUCAUUGGGAAUGUCUUUGAGCUCGAAAACUCUUUCCACUGUGUAAAGCCAAUCAAGAAAGUCAUCAGGAUGAAGUCUUCCUUCAAACUCAGGAAUGUCGACUUUAAUUCCCAAAUCUCUAGUAGUAGCAGUUCUCAAGCGACGAUUAGAUACUUCUUCAUCAGAGGAUGAAUUUUGAUGAAAUGGGUUAAUGUCAUUCUCUUCAUCACUAGAGCUACUAUUGUUGAUUUGAGCAUCA